Rhincodon typus (whale shark) is the source of this 797-nucleotide long non-coding RNA. RefSeq lists it as uncharacterized. Lineage: Eukaryota; Metazoa; Chordata; Chondrichthyes; Orectolobiformes; Rhincodontidae. The transcript has 3 exons. The record is from RefSeq and is a predicted model, not a curated record.
GUAGUUUUCCAGUUCGAUCUGUAACAUUUCUAGUCUUUCUCGUCGCUGUCAUUUCAUUACUGAUCGGGGGCAGUAAAUGGAAAGAUCGAUACUGUCCUUGCAACUCUAGGAAUGCAAAACUAAGUGAAAACCGAGGCAAACCAUGUGAAGUUGACCCUAUGGGAGAUGUUGACGUCCAUGAGGAAAUAACUUCAAAAUUAUGAACAUCUAGGGAUUCUCAUUUCCAAUCUGUCAAUUUUUUCUUUCCAAAGUACCAUCAAGUCCAACAACUCACUCAGGCAGAACACCUUUAAGACAAUCAUGUCCUAAAACCUACCCUUUCUAAAAAAAAGUUUAUGCCAGGAACACAAAUUUUCUAGGCAAAUCUAACAUGUUGCUGAAGGCCACUCAGCUGCCCCAGCCUUUUGACAAAGCAAUGUUUUUCCUCACCAUGCCAUCAGCUGAAGGUGCCAUCCCCAUUGAUAAGCAUGGGCUCAUUCUUGUGGUAGUAUCCCUACCGCAAAGACAGGAGGCCUGGGUUCAAAUCCCAAGUGUUCCAGAGAUGAGUAAUGCCAUCUCUAACAGGUUGCUUAGAGAAUAUCUAGUCUUAUCUGGUCGAUUUUACUUGCCUCAUUUUUCAUGUCAAUUUAUUAAUCAUGUUUGAGAGAGGCAAUAGAGGUAAGGGACCUAAAACCAGUAUGACAUUCACCCUGAAAAGUUUCCCCACCGAUUAUAAGGCCGAACAUUAGUUUCUAAUAAUUGGCGUUUCAAGUCUCCAAGAAUGUAAAACAACAAGUUGUCAGCUUUGUCUGAGAACA